UACGGAAGGCAGCAGUGGGGAAUAUUGCACAAUGGGCGCAAGCCUGAUGCAGCCAUGCCGCGUGUAUGAAGAAGGCCUUCGGGUUGUAAAGUACUUUCAGUCGUGAGGAAGGUGUUAAGGUUAAUAACCUUAGCAAUUGACGUUAGCGACAGAAGAAGCACCGGCUAACUCCGUGCCAGCAGCCGCGGUAAUACGGAGGGUGCGAGCGUUAAUCGGAAUUACUGGGCGUAAAGGGCACGCAGGCGGUUAAUUAAGUUGGAUGUGAAAUCCCCGGGCUUAACCUGGGAAUGGCAUUCAAGCUGGUUAGCUAGAGUCUUGUAGAGGGGGUAGAAUUCCAUGUGUAGCGGUGAAAUGCGUAGAGAUGUGGAGGAAUACCGGUGGCGAAGGCGGCCCCUGGACAAGACUGACGCUCAUGUGCGAAAGCGUGGGGAGCAAAC
RNAcentral lists this ribosomal RNA (437 nucleotides) under uncultured bacterium. Its description in RNAcentral is "bacterial SSU rRNA". It matches the Rfam family "Bacterial small subunit ribosomal RNA", at positions 340 to 773 of the family's 1533-position model. The record is from RNAcentral.